GACGUAGGGGGCGAGCGUUGUCCGGAUUUAUUGGGCGUAAAGAGCUCGUAGGCGGCCAUGUAGGUCCGGUGUGAAAACUCGAGGCUUAACCUCGAGAUGUCAUCGGAAACCAUUUGGCUAGAGUCCGGAAGAGGAGAGUGGAAUUCCUGGUGUAGCGGUGAAAUGCGUAGAUAUCUGGAGGAAUACCGGUGGCGAAGGCGGCAUCCUGGACCGGCAUUGACGCUGAGGAGCGAAAGCCAGGGGAGCAAACGGG
This 253-nucleotide ribosomal RNA is filed under the name uncultured bacterium. Its description in RNAcentral is "partial 16S ribosomal RNA". It matches the Rfam family "Bacterial small subunit ribosomal RNA", at positions 524 to 776 of the family's 1533-position model. The record is from RNAcentral.